RNAcentral lists this ribosomal RNA (150 nucleotides) under Drosophila willistoni. RNAcentral's name for it is "5.8S ribosomal RNA". The record is from RNAcentral. Lineage: Eukaryota; Metazoa; Arthropoda; Insecta; Diptera; Drosophilidae.
AUCGGAGAUUGAAAAUGAUUUUUGUAUAUCUUUAUUUAUCUGGCAGGACAUCAUGAACACCGACAUUUUGAACGCAUAUCGCAGUCCAUGCUGUUAUGGUACUUUAAUUAAUUUUAGAGUGCGGCUUGGACUACACAUGGUUGAGGGUUG